Schistocerca cancellata (South American locust) is the source of this 2226-nucleotide RNA transcript. It is a transcript of the gene named 26S proteasome non-ATPase regulatory subunit 10-like, with no coding region annotated. NCBI's taxonomy places the organism in Eukaryota, Metazoa, Arthropoda, Insecta, Orthoptera, Acrididae. The transcript is spliced from 3 exons. The record is from RefSeq and is a predicted model, not a curated record.
GGCGCGGCGGAGGGGGCAGGGGGCAGCGUGGCUGCGGUCGUCAGCUGUUUGUGUGGCGCGGAGAAGCUGGGCGGUCGACAACGCUAAACCUAGACGCGUACUAGCUUCCCGUGGGAUACUACACGAAGACUUCCAGCCACUAUGGCGGGGAGGCCCAUCCCCGGCACUCACAGUCAUCCCCACGGCUACCACGGCCAGACUCCUGUUGUAGCAGCACCACCGACGACUCCAUGUCACAUUCCUCCACCUGAUGAAGCUGCCAUCGCUCGCAUGCGCCUGGUGUCAUCUCGACAGAGUGCCUGUAAGGACCACCACACAACCCACUGCACAGCAACUCUGUUCAGCAUGUGCCGCUGCCAACUGCGCUCUCAUUGUCUCAGAGGCCAGCCUUCUUAACUAUGGCUCAAACAAACUGUACAGCUCAUGGAGUAAUGUUAAGAAUGUAUGCAUACAGUUGGAUCACAAAACUAAAUACGUCACACAAGAUGUGAAUGCUACACCAUUCGAAAAGAAUAGAAACCAGUGGUCCAAAUAAUAUUUUACGAAAUUACUAUGGAGACAGACACAACAUCAUAGUUUUGCUUAAUUAUUUAAGAAAGCACAACGACCAACAGCCUUAAUUUCCAAAGAGGAUUUUGCAACUGACUGCCAAGUAGUAACAACAGCCUACCUCAUGAGUCGUGACAUAACAGCAAUGUAGCAGCAGCCUGUUAAGAACUCAGAAACUUGAGCUGCAGAAUUCAGAGAUAGUCAGGGGGACUUAUAUGGGAUGGGUUUAGUGUAAAACAGUUGAAGAAAUGACCAGUAACAGCAAUACACUCAUAAGUUAAAUCUCCGUCCUUGUAAUAUUGUUGUAUAUGCUCUUCUUCAUCAGACUGCUGCUGGCCAAACAAUUGUUGUAGCACUUGAGGCAAGAGAGAGACCUUCAACUAUGAAUACAACAAGAGAACAACACAAUUCACACAAAAUGGGACACAGAUGAGGUAACGAAAAUCACAAAAGUACAUGACAUAAAGUGCUUUACUUUGGCCCAUAAAGCAAGUCAGUAAAUUUAAUUGACAGUGUAAGUCUAACACAUGUGUUUCUGUUACCUUAAUUAAUGGAAAUUAAUAUAUGUUUAUUGAUGGGAAUUGUACAGUUUCUCUGGUUUUCACUAAAUGACACAGAAUUUUUGUGUAUGUUAAGAUAUUCUGUAAUGAUGAAAGCAUUCACAACUGCUGAAAAUCAGCCUCUCAUAUUACAGUAUCUCUAUAAAUCUAUACCACUAAUGUUCUUCAUGUUGUAAGUCAAGAGCUACAAUUUCAAAAACUAAUGAGAAGUUUUCAUUUAAAAGACAUUUCAGUUAUAUUGUGUGGAUGACUCAGAUUUUUAUGAGCAAUGUACCACAGAUAGGUUACUAGAACAACAUUGGCUGCUUCAUGACCUCAGCUGUUUCACAUCCUAAGGCCCUAACAAACAAAACAAAACAAAACCAAAUAAACUAAGCAGAUAUAUAUUGCGCAAUAUAUAUUCGAUAUAAUCAUUGAAUCAGUGUUUCAAACAGAAAGACAUCAUUCAUGCCAGAUAGCAUAGAUUUCAAGUACAUUGAUUAUGUGAAAUCCAAGUCUCAAUUUUAUUACACGUUACUUAAAAUAUAUCAUUUAGUGCAGUCAGAUGGAUACAGUAUUUUUCAUUUUCAUAGCAAUGUUUAUUGAUGAAGGUAUGAUUUCAUGGGAUGUUAAAUGUAAUUUGUUACUGAAUUAAGCUUUUAUUGGUAGGGAGAGUCAUUGACAAAGUAAAAGCAACUUCAGGUAUAGCCCAUUGAGUUGUUUUGAUGUGCUGUUAUAUUUUAUGUUAAUAAACUAGCAGAGAAUAACGGUAAUUUCAGAGUUUUUAUAGAUGACACAGUUGUCCAUAAUGAAGUGUUAUCAGAUGAAAACUGUAUAAAUACUAUGAUCUUAAUAAGAUUCAAAAUUGGUGCAGAGAUUGGCACUUGCUUUAAAUAUUCAGAAAUAUAGUGCUGUGCACUUUACAGAACAUUAAAACUUAGUGUCCUAUGAUUCCUACGUUAAUGAGUCACACAUGGAAUGAGUCAACUUUUACAAACACCUGUGUGUAACAGUUUUUAGGGAUGUGAAAGGGAUUGUUGACAUAGGCUCUGACAGGAUACUAAGAAAGUAUUUACAACACACCUAUUUUGUGUAUUAUUUUAAUAUUGCUCUUUGUUACACCCAUGGCAGAUAGAAC